GAAUUUGCGCAGUGGCAGUAUCAUAGCCAAUGAGGUCAAACCUAGGCGUGAUUAUUGCUAAUUGU
This 65-nucleotide small nuclear RNA is filed under the name Xenopus tropicalis (tropical clawed frog). RNAcentral describes it as "Xenopus (Silurana) tropicalis (western clawed frog) U4 spliceosomal RNA". It matches the Rfam family "U4 spliceosomal RNA", at positions 1 to 65 of the family's 138-position model. Rfam says of the family: U4 small nuclear RNA (U4 snRNA) is a component of the major U2-dependent spliceosome. The structure of U4 snRNA from yeast and human has been reported. Lineage: Eukaryota; Metazoa; Chordata; Amphibia; Anura; Pipidae. The record is from Rfam by way of RNAcentral.